RNAcentral lists this transfer RNA (71 nucleotides) under Alligator mississippiensis (American alligator). RNAcentral describes it as "tRNA-Gly (CCC) (tRNA-Gly-CCC-6-1)". It matches the Rfam family "tRNA". From Rfam's summary of the family: Transfer RNA (tRNA) molecules are approximately 80 nucleotides in length. Lineage: Eukaryota; Metazoa; Chordata; Crocodylia; Alligatoridae. The record is from Rfam by way of RNAcentral.
GCACUGGUGGUUCAAUGGUAGAAUUCCUGCCUCCCAUGUAGGAGACCUGGGUUCAAUUCCCAGCCAGUGCA